RNAcentral lists this non-coding RNA (749 nucleotides) under Tetraclita japonica (Japanese acorn barnacle). Lineage: Eukaryota; Metazoa; Arthropoda; Thecostraca; Balanomorpha; Tetraclitidae. The record is from RNAcentral.
GAACGUUGAGGUCCGUGUUGUAAUUUUAGUUUUUUCGUAAAUCUACAUGUAAGUUAGCGCUAGUAAUUUAGCAAAGGUAAAAUAGAGAAGGAGAUUCUCAGUAGAAAAUUUUGGAAAUAUAUAAAAAUUUUAUCCAGAUAACGAGAGAGGGGUGGAAAAUGGCGUGCCAGCAGCCGCGGUUAUACUUCAGCCUCAAGCUAAAAUUUUUGUACAAAAUUGUGCUUUGUUGGUGUUACUAGGUUUUAUUUGAGUUGUAGAGUAGAAUCUAAACUUGAAGAAAUGAUAGAAAAAAAGAAGCAUGAAAUUUAUUAUAGGGACCAGGAUUAGAUACCCUGUUACUUUUAAUUAAGAGGUUUUGGAAUAAUAGUAUUAAUGAAAUUUAACGGAUUUGGCGGCAAGAUAGCCCCUUAGAGGAACCUGCCCUGUAAACGAUGAACCACGAGGGACGUAACUUUCUUUGGUAAUCAGUUUGUAUACCGCUGUUGUCAGUUAGAUUCUUGAGAAUAUUUUCGUUUAUGAUAAUUUCAUUGACUUCAAGUAAAGGUGCAGCUUAUGUGAAAGGUAGAGGUGGGUUACAUUUAUAAGAAUAAAACGGAUAAGAUAAAUGAAAGGAUCUUUGAAGGUGGAUUUAACUGUAAAACUUAAGUAGGUUUGGUGAGAGCUCUAUCUUGUGUACACACCGCCCGUCGCUCUCUUUUUUAAAACGAGAUAAGUCGUAACAAGGUAAGUGUAAUGGAAAUUGUACUUGA